Molecule: ribosomal RNA, 301 nt
Filed under: uncultured bacterium
Lineage: Bacteria
Description: partial 16S ribosomal RNA
Rfam family: Bacterial small subunit ribosomal RNA
Source: RNAcentral
CAGUCGCCGCGGGAAUACGAAGGGUGCAAGCGUUAAUCGGAAUUACUGGGCGUAAAGCGUGCGUAGGCGGUUUGUUAAGUCUGCUGUGAAAUCCCCGGGCUCAACCUGGGAAUGGCAGUGGAUACUGGCAAGCUAGAGUGUGUCAGAGGAUGGUGGAAUUCCCGGUGUAGCGGUGAAAUGCGUAGAGAUCUGGAGGAAUACCGAUGGCGAAGGCAGCCAUCUGGCCUAAUACUGACGCUGAGGUACGAAAGCAUGGGGAGCAAACAGGAUUAGAUACCCCGGUAGUCCCUGUCUCUUAUAC